AAUCCCUGUGGAGAAUUAAAUGAAAAUUAAAAGUAGUGGAAUGAAUUUCCAUUUGAUGAGCUUUGGAUUCUGAGGGAUG
Molecule: small nucleolar RNA, 79 nt
Organism: Carya illinoinensis
Lineage: Eukaryota; Viridiplantae; Streptophyta; Magnoliopsida; Fagales; Juglandaceae
Product: small nucleolar RNA R21
Exons: 1
Source: RefSeq, a predicted model, not a curated record